Molecule: transfer RNA, 71 nt
Filed under: Hypomesus transpacificus
Lineage: Eukaryota; Metazoa; Chordata; Actinopteri; Osmeriformes; Osmeridae
Description: tRNA-Ser
Rfam family: tRNA
About the family: Transfer RNA (tRNA) molecules are approximately 80 nucleotides in length. Their secondary structure includes four short double-helical elements and three loops (D, anti-codon, and T loops).
Source: RNAcentral
AAGAAAGUGACAGAGUGGCUAUGUGGUUGACUUGAAAUCAGCAGAUGGGGGUUCGAUUCCUCCCUUUCUCG